GGCAGCCAUUUUAGGUGAGUCAUUUCUAAUUUCCUACCUGGUUAAGUCUGUGUUCGCUCCUGUGGUCACAGAUUUGGCUUGGUAGGGUUCUCCUUCUUUUGUUUCCCUGCAGGACCAAUGGACGACGUGGAGCGUCUGCUUGAGGGGAUCCGGUCGGCGGCGAGGCAUCUGGGUGCUGACUGGCUGAGGGCCCAGCUGGCUCC
Non-coding RNA from Pelobates cultripes (western spadefoot toad), 203 nucleotides. The record is from the annotation of a GenBank genome assembly. Lineage: Eukaryota; Metazoa; Chordata; Amphibia; Anura; Pelobatidae.